RNAcentral lists this long non-coding RNA (552 nucleotides) under Equus asinus (donkey). Its description in RNAcentral is "lncRNA (ENSEASG00005029110.1)". The record is from RNAcentral. Lineage: Eukaryota; Metazoa; Chordata; Mammalia; Perissodactyla; Equidae.
GGGGCCGCUGAUUGGCCCGCGUCGCGUGACGUCACGCGCGGGCUUUAAGGCGGCCGCCCGGGAGCGCCCCGCAGUGCCGGCGCGCUGCAGGCCGAGCUGGAGGCUGUCCUGGCGGCUCGGUCGUCCGGCCCGGAGCGGCGUGGGAUCACCCAGCCUCUACCGUGAGCCCCAAGACCUGCACUUCAGCCGGAGCUCACCAUGGGGAACCACUUGACCGAGAUGGCGCCCACUGCCUCCUCCUUCUUGCCCCACUUCCAGGCCCAUGUGCCGGCCUACAGCGCUGUGGACGGCUCGGCCUGCAGCCCGGCCUUGAGUGCCUGUAUGAGAUGAUCCUCAAGAGGAAGAAGACUGAAGGUCUUUUGCUUCACCCUGUGUAUGAGCCCAAGCAGUACUUCCAGGAUGCUGUCUUGGAAGCAGCAAGAAGGAGCAAGGACACCCACUCCCAUUCUAGUAUGUUGGAGACACACCCCCUGAGAAGGCUGUAGGGGAACCAUGUCCUCCACAGAGAGGCCACGUUUGCACAACAACAUGAAGAGCAUUCAGAGAUUAGAG